GACAGAGGUGGCGACCGUUGUUCGGAAUCACUGGGCAUAAAGCGCGUGUAGGCGGCAUGGUAAGUCGGGUGUGAAAUCCCUCGGCCCAACCGAGGAAUUGCGCCCGAAACUACCUUGCUUGAGGACCAGAGGGGAGCCUGGAAUUCCUGGUGGAGCGGUGAAAUGCGUUGAUAUCAGGAGGAACACCGGCGGCGAAGGCGAGGCUCUGGCUGGUUACUGACGCUGAGACGCGAAAGCUAGGGGAGCAAACGGG
RNAcentral lists this unclassified non-coding RNA (253 nucleotides) under uncultured Planctomycetota bacterium. Its description in RNAcentral is "uncultured planctomycete contains 16S-23S intergenic spacer region". It matches the Rfam family "Bacterial small subunit ribosomal RNA", at positions 524 to 776 of the family's 1533-position model. The record is from RNAcentral. Lineage: Bacteria; Pseudomonadati; Planctomycetota.